RNAcentral lists this transfer RNA (79 nucleotides) under Klebsiella michiganensis. RNAcentral describes it as "tRNA-Arg(ccg)". It matches the Rfam family "tRNA". From Rfam's summary of the family: Transfer RNA (tRNA) molecules are approximately 80 nucleotides in length. Their secondary structure includes four short double-helical elements and three loops (D, anti-codon, and T loops). Lineage: Bacteria; Pseudomonadati; Pseudomonadota; Gammaproteobacteria; Enterobacterales; Enterobacteriaceae. The record is from RNAcentral.
GCGCCCGUAGCUCAGCUGGAUAGAGCGCUGCCCUCCGGAGGCAGAGGGUCUCAGGUUUCGAAUCCUGUCGGGCGCACCA